This 31746-nucleotide long non-coding RNA is filed under the name Capsicum annuum. Its description in RNAcentral is "long non-coding RNA (CANN_LNC014837)". Lineage: Eukaryota; Viridiplantae; Streptophyta; Magnoliopsida; Solanales; Solanaceae. The record is from RNAcentral.
UUUUUUUUUUUUUUUUGUGAAAAAGAAAUACAAAUAGAAGUUGGAUGAGAUAAAAUUUUCCUAAUAAUCCGUAAUAAGCUAUCCUAAAAUAUAAUAAUACAAUAUUCUUCUUUCCUACAAUAGUAAUUACACGAUGAAUCCUUACCCUUACCAUUCAGACCAACAUAUAGCUAAAGUCUUCUAAUAAGACAACACGUACUGAGGGUUCUCCAAAUUUAUUCGUUUUGUGAAGCAAAAAUGGAAGCUCGAAAACAAAGCUUGUGUAACUAAACCAAUUUAAAAAAAAUGUGUGACUAAUCAAAGGUAUCACGACAAGUUAAUACACCAUGAGCAAUGACUCAUAAAUAUAUCCUCUCUUUAACAGAUUCACAUUUGAAAGGAAGGUAGUUCACCUAGUUCAACAUGUAUCAAAGCAGGCAGAACUGAGAGCAGACGCAACCCUUAGGUGUUUAUUUUUUUUUGUGUGUGUGUGUGACUGAGAGAGAGAGAACCCACUAAAAUUUCAACAAAUACCAGAAGUUUAGAAGUACAAUCAGUUCUAUGUUGAGAACCAUAGAGGUCAAACCCGUAGUAAAUCAUGGAUCUGCUCUGGGACAGAACAUGCCUUACAACGAGAAAAUUUCCAGCUCAAGCUGACUUUUUUCACAAAGCCCAACUUUAACUACGUGAAAGAAAGAAAAUCAGUUCUUUCAAAUUUUUUUCGAUAAGCUUAUGAAAAAAAAAAAGGGUUCUUUCAGCAAUCAAACUAGUAAAGAUAACUUCUUUAACCACUUUUUGGGGAAAUUAAGCUACACUCUCCUUUCUUUCUUUUUGACAACUGUGGUGUCCGAGGCAGCUUGUGCGCAUCUCGACUAAUUCCACGGGAUACGUGUCCCCUGCUUCCAGCAACAGAGAUAGCAGGCAUCUAAGCAUCUAACUCUGUCCACUGAGGCUAGGACAAAAGGGAAGAAAUCACCUAGUAUUUUUUGCCUCCACUGGAAUUUGAACCUCAGACCUCAUUGCUGUCAACCAGUUCAUUGACCACUAGGCCACACUUUUGGGUGUCUAUACUCUUCUUUUGUACUCCAUGUUAAAGAUUAUUAUAAUUUACUUCUCACAAUUUAAUUAAGCACAGAAAAUCAAGAGUUCAACAUCACCAGCAGCUUACAAGUAAAUCCAUUUUUGUAUAUAAGUAGAUGAAAAAAUGGGUUCUUUCAGCAAUAAAACUAGUAAAGACAACUCCUUUAACCACUUUUAGGGACAACUAAGCUUCUCUUCUUUUCUAUACCAUGUUAAAGAUACUAUAGUUUACUUCUUACAAUUUCAAAUCAGCAGAGAAAGUCAAGAAUCCAACAUCACCAACAACAUACAGGCAAGCCUAUUUUUAUAUAUAAGGUUAUGGGAAAAAAGGGUUCUUUUUUUUUUUUUUUUUUCAUAAUGUGGUGUUCGGUCCAGCUUGCGGACACCUCCACUAUUUCCACAUAAUACCUACCACCUCCCACCAGCAAAGUGACAGGUAAAUCUGUCCACCAAGUCUAAAGCAGAUGGAACAAAAUGGAAAAAUGGGGUUCUUUCAAACAACCAAACUAGUAAGAUAACUUCUUUAACCACAUUUUGAGGCAAUUAAGCUAUACACUUCUUUCUACACCAUAUUAAAUAUACUAUAAUUUAUUCCGCAGAGGAAAAAUAAGAAUGCAACAUCACCAGCAGCAUACAAGCAAAACCCAUCCUCUAUAUAUAAGUUUAUGGGGAAAAAAUACAUUCUUUCAGCAAACAAACUAGUAAAUACAACUUCUUUUAACCAAAUUUUUGUCCAAUUAAGCUAUAAUUCACUUCUUCUUACAAUUUCAAUUCAACACAGAAAAUCAAGAAUUCAACAUCACCAAUAGCAUACAAGUAAACUCAUUUUUAGCAAUUCCUUUUUUUUUUUCCACUGCCAAAAUAUAUCUAAACAUCAAUUUAAAGAAUUUGGGGGAGAUGGUCUAGUGGUUCAGAAAUCAGAACCAUGAGUUCAAGUUCAAUUCCCAACGGAGAAAAAAAAAAUACUAGCCAUUUGUUCGGACAAAAUUACUGUGCAAUUAAUUGAGGUGCCUAAAUGCUGACUCGAGCAUAAUUUUUUUUUCCUGGGAGAGCAAAAAGAAAAACGAAAAAAAGAAAAAGAACCUGUCACGGAUUUGGAGUUGGUCAAUCAUAGCAGCCAUUCUUUGUUGGUCAGCUUGAUUAAGAGAAUUCAAAUCACCCAUCAUACUCGUGUCCAUUUUUUUUUUCACUUAUUGAUUUAUUAUCAACAAAAAUAUGUAGUAACUAUUUAGGAUUCAAUUAUAACAAAAAGAGUUCUGUUUUAUUAUAUUCCUUAUAUUUCAAAUUUCAAUGAACCCUAAAUAGUUGUGUGUGACGUGAGAGAUUAGUUAACACUUAAGUUUCUGUAGAACUCCCUCUUGAUUUAUGAAAUUGCACUUAAGUACACAACUUUUUGCAACAAAAAAAAGGGCUUUAUCCAAGGGUAAAAAGUUUUAUUUCCUUGAAAAAUAAGUUAAUUUAUUAUUUAUUUUUCAGAGAAAGGUCAAAUGUACCCCAAACUUUCGAAAAUAGUAUGCAAAUAGCCAAAUAGCUUUUGUUAUAUUUUUAGGUUGUCAAUGCCCUUAACAUCAUACUUUUGGGGCGUAUAUACCCUGAAGUGUAACAGAUAGACACAUGGGGUGUGUUUGGUAUGAAGGAAAAUGUUUUCCUGGAAUGGAAAACAAGUUGAUUUCUUUCUUACUUAUUUUCUUAUGUUUGAUUGGUGGAUGAAAAAUAUUUUCUAGUAUUUGGUUGGUGAAUGAAAAAAUAUUUUUCAAAAAAUACAUUUUAGUGUUUAAUUAAAGCGUAAAAAUACAUUUUAGAAUUCUUUUUUAAAAAAAUAAAUUAAAAAAAUUAAAGUUUUUUGGGGAAGGGGUUGGUAGGCGGGUGGAUGGGGGUGUCAGAAUAGGUAGUAGGGGUGGGGUAAGAAAAGAUUUUGAAUUUUUUUCGUUAAAAAAAAUUAAAAAAUUGGCUGGGGAAGGGGGCUUAGUAGGAGCUGGGGAUCAGGGUAGGGGAGUGAGGGGGAAGGGGGAAGAAAAAAAUUUUAAAAAUUUAAAAAAUAAAUUUAAUUUUUUGUAGGUGGUUGAGAAUUAUUAUAUAAUGCAGGUUAUUACUUGUUUCUCCGUCCCAUAUUAGUUGAUCACUUUAGUAAAAAUACAUAUUCCAAAUUACUUGUCCACCUACUAAAUCAAGAUCAAGUUAAUUAAAAUUUUUCCAUUUUCCUCUUCUUUUUUUUCCUGUUAAAAGAAAUUACUUGAACAUUAUUCCAAGAAUUUAAUUUUUUCCACUGAUAGGGCAUUGAGAGUGGAGUAGAUAAUUUUGAGAAUUGUAUGAAUAUUUUAACUUUAAAGUGGGGUUGAAAGAGAGUUUUGAAAAUGUUUUUCUUAUUUUUUGAAGGGAAGUAAUUUUCCUUAUAUUUAAGGAAAAUAAGUUGGUUUGAAAAAUAUUUUUCAAAACAUAUAAGCCAACCAAACAUAAGAAAACUGGAAAAUAUUUUCCUUCGUACCAAACACACCCAUGGUAUCUCUUAUGGUUAAUUUAGGUUUUAUAGUCUGAAUCAGAUUAAUUUUUUUGUUUGGCAAUAAAACGAAACUUUAUUAAUCAGCAAGUAAUGUGUUAUAAGCCAAGAGAAGUGCAAUACAAUUACAGACUACUCAGCACCUACUAAACAAAUAACCCAUAUCACUACUUCACAGAACUUAUAUAAGUAAAUAAACUAUAGUUUGAUCUAACUCGAGUACACAUAUCAAUUUGCAUUUGAUGAACUAAACCAUCUAUUGAUGUGCUCCGCUGUUGAACAAUCUCUAGUGUUUCUUUUAAUCCAGAUAAUAGUGUACAUUGUAGUAGUAAGACUAGUCUUCAGUAUCAACUCUCUGGGAUGCUUACUUCUAGCCAAUUGAUUUAUCCAUAGCCAUAUUGCAUUCCAACCUCUUGAACAUCCUUGCAAUUUCUGUCAUCUUAAGAUAGAGUCCCACAGUUUAUAUAUAUUGUCACGAUCAAAGAACAGGUCACAGGUGAUCUCUAGUUCCAUUAUGCAGCCGACAAAACAUACACUUCUCAUCAACAAUCAUAUCCUAGUUGACAAGCAUAUUCUUUUUUCUAAUUCUAUUUUGUUGGCAUAGCCACACAAUAAAUACUUAUUUAGGCUCAGUAAUGUUAUGACACUAAACUCAUUUCCAAGCAACAUUUUCAACUUCUCCUCUCAACACCUUAGAAGCUUUAGAGAUCUAAAAUUUUUCCUGAGAGAUUAUAUCAACAGUAAUGCUCAGAUUCUGACAAUAUUUUCUCAUUGUUACUGCUUUUCUGACCAUCCAGGAAGCUUGCAUUGGCAUUUGUAAAGUGUAUAAGUUCCCCUUUAUGUAGUAUUGAAGCACCCACGCUAUCCUUAUUUUCUCUUUGUAUUAACUUAGAGCCCACAAUAACUUGCAAAUAACAUCAGUAUUCUAAAGUCUCCAGUUUAUAAUGUCCAGUGCUCCUGCACUCUUUGAUAAGCAUAUUUUGUCCCAUGCCACUAAGGCUCUUUUAGUUAUAACAACUUCACCUGACUAUAAGUAGCUUCUAGAUGUAGCCUCAAUUAGUUUAAUCACUUUCUUUGGCAUUAAAACAGUUAGGACCGAUAGGCUCGUAUCCUAAAUAACACAAACCUGAUAAGUUGUAGUCUACCUGCAUUGGUAAGAUAUUUUGCCAUUCAACUUGUAACUCUUGCAGCAAUCUUCUCUAUCAAUGACUGACAUUGAGCAAUAGUGAGUCUCUUAGUAAAGAGGGGGACACCAAGGUUUUAAAGGGCAAAUUACCUUUUUCAUACCCUAAAGCCUGCAAAAUAUCUUGCUACACAUGAAAAUUCACUCUACCAAAGUACACCUAGAGUUUAGACAUGUUUGCUUUCAAAACUGUAGCUUCAGAGAACAUAUCAAACUAUCUUUUUAGGAGCAAAACUAAAGAUAAGUCACCCUUAGUAAACCUAAGGAAUCAUCAGCAAAACAAAGGUGAGUAAAGUUUAAUUUUUUACACCUAGGAUAGUAGUUACAGUCAUGUUACUUCUGUAAACCAGUCAUGCAUCUAUUAAAAUACUCCAUUAUAAUGACAAAAAGGUAAAGGGACAUAGGAUCCCUUUGCCUUAAUCCCCUUUUAGCUUGAAUUGUAUUUGUAAGAGUUUCAUUCACUAGAAAAGUGUAGUUCACAGUUGUAACACAUAGCAAGAUCCAUUGAAUCAUCAGACAAGGGAAACCCAGCUCCUUCAAAAUUUGCUUCAAGCACACCCAUUAUAUACCAUCAUAAGCUUUUUAUAAAUCAACUUUUAUCAUACACCUAGUGUAACCUUUGAUCAAUUUAUGACUAAUUAAGAUAUUGUCUGAGAUGAGUUUACCUGGUACAAAGGCUUUCUGAUACUGUCCUAGAAUACCAUCUAAUACACCUUUAAUUCUAUUGGUAAUCACGUUAGAGAUAAUUUUAUAUAUGAUAGUACAACAAGCUGUAGAUCUGCACUCUCUUAUUGUCUUAGGCUUGGAUGUUUUAGGGAUCAAAUUAACAAUAGUAUUAUUUGCAGUUGUUAGUAAUUUUCUCUUACCAACUAGUAAUUUUCUCUUACCAAAUAAUUCUUACACUGUAUCAUGAAUAUCAUUUUGAAUCACCUUUCAAGCUUUCUUAAAGAAGUAGGUCGAGUAUCCGUCUAUCCUAUGAGAUUUGUUACUAUCAAUAUUGAAAAGUGCCUGUUGAAUUUCCUACAUAGUAACUUCUCCGCACAUAGUUUAUUGUUGCUGCAGUGUAAGGCUUGGUCCCAGCCUUAUGCUUAAGAUAUUUAUUGCAGAUAUAUCUGAGGAGGUAGAUCCUAAUAAUUUUUUCUAAAAAUAUAGUAUCUUAGCCUCAAUAUAUUGUGCCUUAUGCAACACUUUACCACCACUAUCUAUCAGCAAAAAUAUAGCAUUGGAACUUGCUCUAGCCUUCAUACAUCUAAAGAAUAACUAUUAUUACCAUCCCCUACUUCAAUCCAGUGAACCUUAAGUUUUUGUUUAAAAAUCUUAUCCUUCAAAGUCGACUAUUUGUGGAGUUUCGGCUAGCCUUUGUUUCCUCUACUACAUCAGGACUUACAAAAUUCCUUAAGAGGCUCUACAUAUGAAGCACAUUUUCUCCAACAACUUAUAUCUUUCUCUCUAAGCUUCUCACAUAUACAUUCUUCAAUUUCUUUAGAGGUUCUUUGCAUAACUGUAAAUUCUUCCUUAACUUAUACAUGCAUGUGUCAUCAGCAAAUGUACUCCAAACCUAAGCAACAAGUGGGAGAAACUUUUCAUUAUCUGCAAGGAUAUUAAGAAAUUUAAAAGGUUUUUUAGUUUAUGAUCUUUCAGCUGCAAUAUCCAUAUGUACAUGUGAGUGGUCAGAGAAACAAUUACCAAAGAACUAAGUUGUGAUCCCUCCAUGGGUUACAGAACGCUCUAUCAAUUGUACUCCAUAUAUGUUUGUUAGUCCGAGUAAAAUUCUUUCUCAUUACUUUUAUAUCUAUCAAGUUGAGGUUAUCCAUAAUUAUUUGAAGGUCAUUUAUCUCAUUUACAUAAACUGGUUAUCCACCCAUUAGAUCAUCACUUGUGAGGAUAGAGUUGAAGUCCCCAAAAAUACAUCAAUGCAUAGUGUUUCCAGUUCUUAUAUGAGUAAGCCUCUCUUAGAGUUCCUUCUUUUCUUCCAGGCUAUUACUACCAUAAACUAUAGUCAAUGCAAUGCACACCUAAAGUCAGACCUUCUAUCUUGGAUUACACAGUGAAUGAAUUGAGUAUGACAUGUCUGUUGCGAGUUACUAACUUCAGCUUUCUUUCAUAUUAGCCAAAUUUUUCAAGUUGAAUUAGAGUAAUAAUUGUGAAUACAAGCCCAUCCUUUUGCACAUCUAGCUAAGCUCUCCUGAAAUUUAUGAUGCUUGAUUUUGGUUUCUACAAGUUCAACUAACUAUAUAUGAUUUGUCUUUAUAUACUCCCUUAUUUUUCUUUGUUUGAGAGGACUGUUUAAGCCUAUCAUAUUCCAGACUAAUCAUUUCAUUGGGACAAAAGGUUUUCCCCCUCUUCAAAGGCCUUUCCUUAUCCUAUGCAACCACAUUCACAACUGCUAAAGAAGAGAAUGAAUUUUGAAUCCUCAAUGUAGGUCCUCUUAAUUCUCUUACAGAGUUAUACAUCACUAAUUAUGCAUAUGACAUACUCCUCAUUCAACUAUUAAAAGAAAUAACUUUACUUAUAUUUGCAUCAUAUUUUUAGAGUUAUCGUCCCUGAGGUUCCUAGAGUAGUUAGCUUUUUAUUCAAACCAACAACAGGUUUAGGAACUACAAUGACUUCUCAACUACUAUAACACCCUUCCCUAUCUAUUUCUGCACCAUUUUUUUGUCUUCUUGAUUAUCAAGCCUUUUUUCUUUAUUGUUGCUUCGUUGGUCUAGUGUUGUCAAGCUUAACAGGAGGUAUUGUUUUCUUUUCUGGACAUACAUGUCCAUAUAUUUAUCAAAUAGGUCAAGAUAGGGGUUUUUAGUAAUAUGUAACGGGCUUCGUGAACACUCUUCCAUUAGGAUUAAUUAUCUCAAUUUCCUUAGGCAAAUCUUGAGUGAUGUUCAUAUCAACUAGCACUCUUGCAUAAGAUAUCCUGGAUUGAGUCUUAGUGCACUUAUCUACAAAUAGAGGUUCUCCCAAUCUACUAACCAUUUUACUCAAUGUCUUCGGGUUCAAUAAUUGAGAGGAAGCUUAUAAAAAUGUACCUAUAGUGGAAUUGUGCUUGGGAAUUAAGUUUGAAAAUGAAACACCCUAGUUUCUGGACCUUAGAAAAUUUCUGGAAUUCUGAUCUCUGGACCCAAUAUAACUCAUGGGUACGAGCCGUAUGUUGGGGUACGGAUGGUAUGGUCCGGUUGUAUACUGACCAGUGUUGGUUGGUGGGAUGGAUUUUGAUUACUAGAAUUGACACGAAUUAGGGGUAUGAGUCGUAUUGUUGGUUACCGAUCAUUUGGUUCCUUAACUUAAUCUUAGACUUGGUUACUUAUGUUGGAUCUGAGUAAGAGUGGCUCACCAUGAGUUGUAAGCCAGGGUACGAAUCAUACCAGGGACUCGUUUGGUAAAUAGUGUCCAAUCCUCCUAGUAAUUUAUUCUGCUAGGGAUAUUGGGUCAUGGAUACGAAUUAUAUGUUGUGGUUACGACUUGGUUGGAUGAGUCGUAUACUGGAUAUGGUUGAUCCAAGGGUUGAGGCUUGGAUAAGAGUGUUGGAAACCAAUCAUAUUGGGAGGGUACGACUCGUGAGGGUCAGUUUUAUCCCUGUGAUGGGAUUUUGUGCAACUUAAGUGGAGGUAUUCUAGAUAUUUCUCUACUUAUCCUAAUAGGGUUCCACGACUUCUAAGCUACCUGAAAGGUUAUUUAUCCUAAUAUUCUAUUCAUUAAUACUUAGAAACUCUUCCAAAACAUUUCAUAAUUCUCUUAAGAACUAUUGGGUAAGGGAAUCUAGGGUUUCAACUAGGGUAUUAAUUUGGGGCUUAUCUUGGUAAUUUUAUUCCGCCAUUGCCUUGGUUUAAGACAUGUUUCUCUUCCCUCAUUAUUAAUUUAAUUAAAGGCAUGGUUUAUAUGAAUAUUUUCGUAGUUUUACUAGUGUAUGACUUUAGCUUUCAAAUAUGAUUUGGGGAGGAGCUGAUGUUAAUUGCUUGGUUAUGAUUUCCCAUGGUUUUAAUUAUGCUUUUAUAUGCAUUAAUGGUGGUUUUAGAUAAUUGGAUUGGAUGGGAAUGGUUUAUUCACAGUUAGAAUUGGUUUUGGUUAUAUUAUGCCCCCAAUGUGUUUGACAAAAUGCUUAUAAAGAUAUGUUCAUUGCAUCGACUUCUUUUAAUGGAAUUCUUGCAUAUUUUAAACUUGGCAAAAUAAUUAUACAUGAUUUAAAUAGUUUGGAAAGACUAAAGGCUAACUGGUUAUGCUUGUAGGGAACAUGAAAGUCUUCCAAGUAGUUUAAUAUGGUAAAUAGAAGGGCACUUAAAAGUUAUCUUAAACCUAUAAAUGGUUGGAUAUAGAUGAUACUUGCAAGUAAGGGUUGGUAUGACGAUACUAAUAGCAAUGGCCUUGGUUAGUAAAUGGAAAUGGUUUUGUUAUUUGAAAAUUGGUUUUAAUUGGAAAAUAAUGGCGGGAUGUGUAGCAAAGUCGUAGAAGGUAGAGGUCCCGGGGGGACAAAAACUGGAAACUCAUAUUUGUCGAUAUGAGGUUGGUCUUGGUGUCGUAUGCAUAAUGUCACACUUUAUUUUGGGGAUGUACUAGUCAUCCCAUAUGAUACUUCCCUGGUCGCGUGGCUACACGCACUGGGGCCCUUUUAGUGGGGGGGAGCUGAACCCAUAUAGCCCCCGGGUGAUUUAGGACGGCAAAGCUACACAAUCCAGGUAAAGGUUUUAAAGGCAUGCUAAACCCGAUCCCUUUUUUCGGCAUGGAUAUAUAUAUAUAGGUGUAUGAUGUAUGAUUGUAUGCAUCAUGGAUAGUUUUACUUGGUUUUAUAAAUGACAUUCUGAGAUCAUGCUAGUGGUCACUCGCUAACCCCAUCUACUGACGGCUGUAUACCCACGUUAUAUAGGAACCAGCUGUUCUACUCUUCCUACAUAGUGAUUGACUCGAGGACAGUAUUUGGACUAAAGUGGUGAGCUUCUAUCCUUUCGGAAGACAUCAUUUCUUGUUAUAGAUAUUUUUAGAUAUUUUGACUUUAUUUUGGAUAUUGGUUUUGGCUAUGGUUGGGGGCAUGUCCACAAAUUCGGAUAGAGGAUUUAUGGUACUUCUAUGGAUUGGAAUGGGCGGGAUCGGUAUUGGUGUCGACCUUGGCAUUGGAAUAAGCCGGUGGGCUAACAUUAUUAGACGAUAUUAUUGGUUGUUCUAUUCUAUUACAUUUUGGGAUUAAUUAUAUUAUGUUUUAGAAUAUCCUUGGUUAUGGCAUUUGUUUGGUAUGGUUGGAUUAUUGGUAUGAGAGGGGUGACCUCGGUUAGGUUGGUCACGAUUGUGAUCUAUUCCUAGAGUUCUUAUGUGAGCUGUUAUACUAUUUUGUUACAUGCUGGAAUUCAGCCAACUCAGGGCAGGCUACUGGAGGUUGGGUUGGGUACUGGGGGUGGUCUUCAAUCCUAGUCGAACUUAGGAUGCCCAUUACGACAAGGCCUAGGGGGUUGUGUCAAGUUGGUAAGAGUCUAGGUUCAUGGUCAAUUAAGAGUCCACAAAGUCGUAUCGAGUAGAGUCUCUUUUUGGGGUGUGUAGCGCGCCAUACUCAUAAGGAAGAGGCUAUAAGGCAUUUAAGAAUGUUUUACUUUCUUUGUAUUCUAUCUUUGAGCUUAAAUUCUCAGUCCUGGAAUCUUCUGUAAUCCUUAUUUAUUCAUCUUUCAGAUCAUACCUCAUAAAUACGGAUUACAAAAAAAAUCUUCUAUCCCAUCUAGAGGUAAUACUGAAGGGGUGCAUCCUACUUCUGGGGUUUAUCUUUGAUCUCACGGUCCUAUCCCUAAUAGUUCUGGAGUUCCACUGAUUGCUACUAGUCCUCCUUAAGGCAAGGUGACUAAUGCAGAAUUUCGUCAGUCUAUUCAUGUUAUUGCUAAGUUGGUUGCUGCUCAGGCUGACCGGGAUAUGUCUGAUGCUUUGUCAGCUGAGGCCACAAGGGUUGUCUAACUUAUGAAUAUGAGUCCUCCCACUUUUUCUAAAGUGGAGAUGGAGGAAGAUCCACAAGGCUUCCUGGAUGAGAUGGAAAAUAUAUCUCGGGUGAUGCAGUCUACCAAUGGUAAGGGGUAAACUUUGCAUAGUAUGAGCUCAAAGAGGUUGUAUAUCAGUGGUAUAAAGAGUAGGAUAGGGAUAGAGGUGAUAUGGAAGAGGAAGGUUUGUAAGAGGCCUUUUCUAACACCUUCUUGGAUCAAUUCUUUUUCCAAGAGCUGGGGAAAGAAAAGAUGGAAGAGUUUGUGAACCUCAAGCAGGAGAGAAUGUCUGUCAAGGAAUAUGCCUUGAAGUUUUACCAGUUAUCAAGGUAUGUUCCUGAUUUAAUGGCUAGCAUGCGGGCUAGAAUGAGGAAGUUCAUUUCUGGGUUAAAUUGGGAUUUAUUUUGGAGAGCAAAAAUACCUUGAUGAUUAAAGAUAUGGACAUCUCUAGGUUUACAGUUCAUAUACAGUAAGUGGAGUAUGAGAAGAGGAAGCAGGCAGUGUUCAAAGAUAGGCAGGGAAAGAUGAGAAGGUUUUCUGAUCAGGAAGGUGCUCAAUCUUAUGGUGGUAGAGAUGGUGGCAAGUGGCAGAAAAAAAAAGAGUUCUGGUGCCUACUCUUCUGCUAGUGUUCCUUACCAGUCGAGCAACAGGCGACAUUAUGGUGGUGACAAUUCUCGGGCACAAGGUGCCUAAUCUCAGGCGAAUGAAGGUCAUUCAAUUUUUUGAUGUGGUCAUCCUCAUUGUGAUUAUUGAGAUGAAGAAAAGGAUAGAUGCUUCAGUGUGUCCAGACAGGCCAUCGACUCAGGAAUUAUCUGGUUAAUAAGGUUGCUAUGGGGGAAAAUAAGAUUUUUGUGGCUUCAUUUUCUGCUUCUACACCUAGUGGUGUAGCACCUUCUUCUAUUACUGCUCUUGGUUCUAGUGUUGGUUGAAAUAGUUUAUAUGCUUUGGCAUCCCAACAGGAAUUCGAGGCAUCACCUGAUGUCGUUACUGGUACGUUAUAGCUUUUUUCUUGUAACGUAUAUUAUUUUCUUAAUUCAGGGUUUACUCUUGCCUAUGUGACUCCUUAUGUGGUUAUAUCUUUUGGUUUUGAUCCAGAAGUUAUUUCGAAUUCUUUUUCUAUUUCUACCCCAGUAGGUGACUCGGUUAUUGCUAAUAGAGUCUAUAGGGUGUGUGUGGUAUAUGUUGGUGGAAAGCAGACCUUGGUGGAUCUGUUUGAGUUAGAUAUGGUGGAUUUUGAUGUUAUUCUGGGUAUGGACUGGUUAUACUCUUGUUACGCAGCUUUGAAUUAUCGGACCCGUAGGGUUAUCUUUAGGUUUUCUAGUGAAUUGGUUAUAGAAUGUGAGGGAGCUUCUUUAGCUCCUAUGGGGAGGUUUGUUUAUUAUCUUAGAGUUCGGAGGUUAAUCUCCAACAGUUGUCUUUAUCACAUGGUCCGAGUUAAAGAUUCUAACUCAGAUGGUCCUUCUUUCCAGUUAGUUCCAGUGGUUAAUAAGUUUUCAAAGGUCUUUCCAGAUGAUCUUCCUAGUGUUUCUCCAUAUAGGGAAAUAGAGUUUGGUAUUGAUAUAAUUCCGGAUGCUUAUCUAAUUUUUAUUCCUCCGUAUAGAAUGACUCCGGCUGAGUUAAGGGAACUCAAGGAGCAACUUAAGGAUCCUCUAUAUAAAGGGUUUAUUCAUCCUAGUAUAUCUUAUUGGGGUGAACCAGUGUUGUUUGUGUGCAAGAAGGAUGGUUCCCUUCGGAUAUGCAUUGACUACAGGCAGUUGAAUAAGGUGACGGUUAAGAACAAGUAUCCUCUUUCAAGGAUAGAUGAUCUGUUUGACUAGUUGAAAGGUUCCAAGUUCUUUUCUAAGAUAGAUCUUUGGUCGGAGUAUCAUCAUCUAAAGAUUAGGGAGGUGGAUAUCCCUAAGAUGACUUUUCAUACUCGGUAUGGGCACUUUGAGUUUCUGGUGAUGUCAUUUGGGUUGACUAAUGCUUCGAUAAUAUUUAUGGAUCUGAUUAAUAGGGUAUUCAGUCAGUAUUUAGAUCUCUUCAUCAUUGUGUUUAUUAAUGAUAUUCUGGUUUAUUCGAAGAGCAAGGUGGAUCAUAGUAAUCACCUUCGUAUGGUGUUAUAGACCUUAAAAGAACAACAGUUAUAUGCCAAGUUCUCCAAGUAUGAGUUUUAGUUGAACGUUGUGACUUUCUUGGGUCAUAUUAUUUGUAGUGAAGGGAUCGUGAUAGGUCCAUAGAAGGUUGCUGUGGUGAAGAGGUGGCCUAGACUUAUGAUUUCAUCCAAUAUUCGGAGCUUCUUAGGUUUAGCCGGAUAUUACAGACGGUUUGUGGAAAGCUUUUCAUCAAUAGUUGCUCCUUUGACUAAUUUGACUCAGAAGAAGGUUAAUUUUUCUUGAUCAGAUGCUUGUGAAUGGGAGUUUUAAGAAGUUAAAGGAUAAGUUAACUUCGGCUCCAAUUCUGACUUUGUCGGAAGACAGUGAUAGGUUCGUGGUUUAUUACGAUGCAUCUCGGGUAGGUUUUGGUUGUAUGUUGAUGCAGCAUGAGAAGGUGAUUGCCUAUGCUUCCAGACAUUUAAAGGUACAUGAGAGGAAUUAUCCUACUCGUGAUUUGGAGCUAUUGGCGGUUGUGUUUGCUUUGAAAAUAUGAGGGCAUUAUUUGUAUGGUGUCCACGUGGAUAUCUUUUCUGAUCAUAAGAGUCUACAGUAUGUGUUCACCUAGAAAGAGCUUAAUCUCAGGCAAGUAAAUGGCUUGAGCUUCUCAAGGAUUAUGAUAUGAGUCUUUACUAUCACCCACGUAAAGCUAAUAUGGUUAUUGAUGCUCUUAGCAGGUUAUUCAUGGGGAGUUUUGCUCAUGUAGAGGAAAGAAAACGAGAAUUGGUGAAGGAUAUUCACUGCUUGGCUAAUCUUAGAGUUCGUCUCUUAGACUUCAAGGAUGGCGGUGUGGUGGUGAAAGAAGUGGUUAGAUAGUCUCUUGGAGCGAAGAUUAAAGAAAAGCAAGUGUUGGAUUCUAUCUUAAUAAAAAUUAAGAGUGACAUUGGUGGGAAAAAGGUAGUGGUGUUUGAGAUCGGUGGUGCUGGUACUUUACGGUACCACGGGAGGUUAUGUGUUCCUGAUGUCGAUGGGUUGCGACAAAGGAUUUUGGCUGAGGCACAUGAGUCAUGCUAUGUUGUUCAUCUCGGCUUGACUAAGAUGUAUCAUGAUCUCUAAGAGAUCUAUUAGUAAAAAGGUAUGAAGAGGGAUGUGGCUGAUUUUAUGGUCAAGUGUAUGGUGUAUUAACAGGUUAAGGUUGAGCACAUGAGGCCAGGGGGGUUGUAUCAAGAAAUUGAUUUGCCCGAAUGAAAGUGGGAAGUAAUCAACAUGGACUUCGUUACAGGUCUUCCUCAGUCUCAAAGUUAAUAUGAUUCGAUUUGGGUCAUCAUGGAUAGGAUGACUAAGUUUGUGCACUUUUUGCUAGUCCGGCCUACUUUUUCUGUGGAGAAUUAUGUGAAGUUGUAUCUUCAGGAGAUGGUAAAGCUGCAUGGGUACCUGUUUCGAUUAUUUCUGAUUGUGGCACGCAAUUUACAUCUCACUUCUGACGGUCUUUCUAGAAAGGGUUGGGGACUAAGGUGAGUCUGAGUACUGUUUUUCAUCAGCAAGCGGAUGGGUAAGUGGAGAGAACUAAUCAGACAUUGGAGGAUAUGCUUCGAGCCUGUAUGAUUGAUUAUGGUAGAAAUUGGUUUAAGCAUCUACCUUUGGUGGAGUUUGCUUACAACAAUAACUAUCAUUCUUGUAUUGGUAUGGCCUUUUUUGAGGUAUUACAUGGUAGGAGGUGUAGAUCUCCUAUUGGUUGGUUUGAAUUUUGUGAGGCGGACAUGUUUGGUCCCGACUUGGUCUACCAGGCCAUAGAAAAGGUGAAGGUGAUUUGGGAUAGGCUUAAGGCUGCCCAAAGUCGCCAAAAGUCCUAUAUAGGUGUUAGGCGUAGAGACUUGGAGUUUAAAGUUGGGGAUAAGGUUUUCCUCAAGGCAUCUCCCAUGAAGGGAGUAGUGCGGUUUGGCAAGAAGGAAAAGCUCAGUCCCCGAUAUAUUGGUCCUUAUGAGAUUUUACAGAGAGUGGGUAAUGUUGCUUAAGAUCUAAAGUUUUCUUAUAUCUUGAGCUUAGUUCAUCCAGUCUUUCAUGUUUCUAUAUUGAGAAAGUGCAUUGGUGAUCCUUCUUCAGUUAUUCCUUUAGAAUGGUUGGCUCUCACAGAUUCUUUAUCUUAUGAAGAGGUUCCAAUUGAGAUCUUGGAUAGGUAGUUCGUCGAUUAUGGACAAAGGAUGUGGCUUCGGUUAAGGUUCUUUGGUGGAACCAUAAGGUGGAAGAAGCUACAUGGGAAUCAAAAGAGGACAUGAAGUCUAAAUAUUCGCAUUUGUUUUUUGUUCUUGGGAUUCUUGCAGAAGGUAUAUGUAUUCAACACGUCUUUGUUUUCAAAGUUUGUCAAAAGAAAGAUUUAUAUAUUUGCCUCUUUGUUUUUGAACUUUGUUAAAGAUUGGGAAUAUCUUUGAUAAUGCAAAUGACUCUAGCGUAUGGUUACCCUUACCUUGUCCGUCAUUCAGGGAUAAAUGUUCCCCUAGUGGGGAAGACUGAAACACUCUAGUUUUUGAACCUUUGAAAAUUUCUUGAAAUUCUAAUCUUUGAACCCAAUAUGACUCAUGAGUACGAGCCGUAUGUAGGGGUACGGAUGGCAUGGUCCAGUCGUAUACUGACCAGUGUUGGUUGGUGGGAUGGAUUUUGUUUACUAAAAUAGAUACGACUUAGGCGUAUGAGUCGUAUUGGUGGUUACAGAUUAUUUGGUUCCUUAACUUAAUCUUAGACUUGGUUAAUUAGGUUGGAUCUGAGUACAAGUGGCUCACCAUAAGCCGUAAGCCAGGGUACGAAUCGUACCAGGGACUUGUAUGGUAAACAGUGUCCAAUCCUCCUGGUAUUUUAUUCUGCUAGGGAUACGGGUCAUGGAUGAUUCGUAUAAUGGAAAGUGUUUUCAAGGGUUGAGGCUUGGAUACCAAUCGUAUUGGGAGGGUAUGACUCGUAAGGGUCAGUCAUAUCCCUACGAUGGAAUUUUGGGCAACUUAAGUGAGGGUAUUAUAGAUAUUUUCCUACUUAUCCUAUUAGGGUUCCAUGACUUCUAACCUACCUAGAAGGUUAUUUAUCCUAAUAUUCUAUUCAUUAACACUUAGAAACUCUUCCUAAGCACUUCAUAAUUCUCUUAAGAGCUAUUGGGAAAGGAAAGCUAGGGUUUUAACUAGGGGAUUAUCUUGGUGAUUUCUUUCCAUCGUCAUCUUGGUUUAAGGCAUAUUUCUCUCCACUCAUUGUUAAUUUAUUUAAAGGCAUGGUUUAUAUGAAUGUUUUCAUGGCUUUAUGAUUGUAUGGCUUUGGCUUUCAAAUAUGAUUUUAUUUGGGAGGGGGGUUGAUGUUAAUUGCUUGGUUAUGGUUUCUCGUGGUUUUAAUUAUGCUUUUAUAUGCAUUAAUAGUGGUUUUGGAUAAUUGGAUUGAAUGAGAAUGGUUUAUUAGUAAUUGGAAUUGGUUUUGGUUAUAUUAUAUCCCCAAUGUGUUUGACAAAAUGCUUAUAAAGAUAUGUUCAUUGCAUUGACUUUUUUUAAGGGAACUCUUGCAUGUUUUAAACUUGGUAAAAGAACUAUGCAUGUUUUAACUAGUUUUGAAAGGCUAAAGGCUAGGUGCUUAUAGGGAACAUGGAAGUCUCCCAAGUGGUUUAAAACGGUAAAUGGAAAGGCACUUGAAAGUCUCUUUAAACCUAUAAAUGGUUGGCUAUGGAUGAUACUUGCAAGUAAGGGUUGGUAUGACGAUACCAAUAUCAAUUGCCUUGAUUAAUAAAUGGAUAAUGGUUUGGUUAUUUGGAAAUUGAUUUUAAUUGGGCAAUAAUGGUGGUAUGUAUAGCAAAGCCGUGGAAGGUGGAGGUAUCGAGGGGACCGAAACUAGAAACUCAUACUUACUGAUAUGAGGUUGGUCUUGGUGACUGUGUGCAAGAUGUCACACUUUGUUUUUAGGAUGUACUAGUCAUCCCAUGGGAUACUUCGUUGGUCAUGCGUCUACACACACUCGGGCUCUUUCAAUAGGGGGAGUUGAACCCAUAUAGCCUAUGGGUGGUUUAAGACAGCAAAGCUACACAACCCAGGUAAAGGUUUUAAAAGCAGUCUAAAACCGGGACCAAAACUAGAAACUCAUACUUGUCGAUAUGAGGUUGGUCUUGGUGACCGUGUGCAAGAUAUCGCACUUUUUCUUGGGGAUGUACUAGUCAUACCAUGGGAUACUUCCCUGGUCACGCACUGGGGCCCUUUCAGCAGGGAAAGUUGAACCCAUAUAGCCCGUGGGUGGUUUAGGAUGGCAAAGCUACACAACCCAGGUAAAGGUUUUAAAAGCAUGCUAAACUCGGUCCCAUUUUCCGGCAUGGAUAUAUAUAUAUGUGUGUGUGUGUGUGCGUGUGUGUGUGUAUAUGAUUGUAUGCAUCAUGGAUGGUUUUACUUGGUUUUAUAAAUGGCAUUAUUUUAUCCUUACCCUGAGAUCAUACUAGUAGUCACUCGUUAACCCUGGCAGUUGUAUACGCACGCUAUACAAGAACCAACCGUUCUACUCCAUCUCGUACAUAGUGAUUAACUCGGGGACAGUAUUUGGACUGAAAUAGUGAGCUUCUAUCCUUUCGAAAGACAUUAUUUCAUGUUAUGAUAUUUUUAGACAUUUUGACUUUAUUUUAGAUAUUGGUUUUGGCUAUAAUUGGAGGCAUGUCCAAAUCAGAUUUGAUUAUUCUUUUGGAUAGAGGCUUUGUGGUACUUCUAUGGGUUGAAAUGGGUAGGAUCGGUAUUGGUGUUGGCUUUGGCAUUGGAAUAAGCCGGUGGGCUGACAUCAUAGGACGAUAUUAUUGUUUGUUCCAUCCUAUUACAUUUUGGGAUUAAUUAUAUUAUGUUUUGGAACAUCCUUGGUUAUGGUCUGGUUUAUGGCAUUUGUUUGGUAAUGUUUGGUAAGGUUGGACUAUUGGUAUGGAAGGGGUGCACUAAGUUGGGUUGGUCACGGUUGUGAUCUAUUCCCAGAGUCCUUAUGUGAGCUGUUACACUAUUUUGUUACAUGCUUGUAAUUCAGCUAACUUAGGGAAGGUGGCUAGAGGUUGGGUUGGGUAACGGGGGUGGUCUCCUAUCUUGGUUGGACUUGGGAUGCCUAUUAUGACAAGGCCCCAGGGCAGGUAGUGUUAGAAAUUCAAAAAUAGAGGUCCAUUUCUUCAUCAAAAGUGGCAUCCCAUUCAUAUAGUAUGGUCCACAAGACAAGAUAUUAACCUUGUCCUAAGUAUGUUUAAAUUUGUCAAUGUAGAACCCUUUCUCAUGAUAGAACAACUCAUGCAUUGAUACAGUAUUCCAAACUUUAGCUAUAUAUGAUUUCAAAUAUGCAUAACUAGGAGCCUCUCCCAUAGUGUACAAGAUCAAAGCACUACUCUAUUCAUUCAUAUAAUAUGUUACAUCUUCUUUUUUCUAAUGUAACAGUUAUUUUUCUAUCAAUCACCAUUGGAGCAACAUAAGUGAGAGACAUACCAUGUGCUGCAGUACGAUUUUGUGUAAAUAAGCUUACCCAAUUUGCCUCUACACCUGUCCCUUUCUGCUUUAGCUGAGAUCUCUCUGGUAUAGAGCUUACUGGCCUUGGAUUCAUAAAAUUACUCAAACUUUCUUCUUCCUGAGCUUUGCUAGACGCUGUUUGCUUUCCUUUGUCACUCAGGUGUAUCAGAUCUGCAUCAUCCUCUUAUAAUGUCAACUCAGUUACAGUUUUAUUAGUUACUAUAAUCUUACUUGCUUCGAAUUCAUCCACUUCUUCCUCUAAGUCUCGAAUUGGUGCAUCGUCCUCCGCAUCCUUAGUUUCUUCCUAACCUCAAUCUCCUUCUUCUGUGGUCGAGCUCUGAUACGCCCAAAUUACACCUCUCUUAUGAGAGAGUAAGCGAUUGCUGUUAAAUAUAGAACCCAACUGGGUUGGGUGUUGAAUCCCACAGAGAAUACCAUGUUUACUAAGUAUUGUGAAUAUUAUUAGACUGUUGAUCUAAGGUUCCUGAGUAGAAGGGAGUUUGAAUGUGUUAACAAUGUUCUUUUGUAUUUGUGUCACACAAAAGUCCAGCUACUGAGAGUUAAUGUAGAUGUAAUUUCAAUGAGAAUGAAUUAACUAGAGUUAUGCUCACUAAGAUAUUCAAACAAUUAGGGUUGUGAGUUUGUGUUUGAAUUCUAACUUAUGUAUUCAAUUGCAAGAAUUAUUGAAUUCUAAGGAUUACCCACGUGUUUCUCAACCUAAUGAGUAUUUCACCCUUUACUUCUCUCGAACUUAAAGGAUUCAUGCAUUAUUUAAUAACACUCUCAUGAGGGUUGAUCCUGUUAAGGCAUCAACCCAUUAACCCCAAAGGAUAAACCUUUGGAGUUCAUGUGAAUCACUUUUUUCCCAACAUCCACUUUCUUGUCAGACAAGUGGAGUUCAUGGGCUCACUUCUCAAGUUUGCAACAAGAGAUGUCAUUAUAAUGAAGAAAGAUUCUUGCAAUUUCGAUAGAUGUUAGAAAUCAAACCAAUUCACAACCCCAAAAUAGUUCUCUACAUCAAGGCUCCCAUAACCCUAGUUAUGAGAGUUUAGCUACUUAUCUCCAUCUAAGAAAUCAAAGAUAUUUUGAUGUUCAUAAAUGACUUCAAUAGGGCACUUACAAAAGUCACAAUAUUGUUCUUCUCAAUCUUCAAUGGAAAAUAUAAAAACUAAUAAUCAAAUCUCAAUCUCUAGAUUCAAAUCUCAAUGAAAAGUGUUACACAACUGUCAAUAGAGGAGAAAGUAUGAAACUAAUGAUAUAGGAUACGGACUAAACCUUAAUACUUAGUAUUUAUAUAAUUUCAAAACUGGGGUUUUAAAAUUCAAACUCAGAUUUUUUGCUUUAUGGUCGACGGGUUAAGCUACGGUUCGUCGCAGGUCCGAUGGUCCGUCACCUGCACCGUCGCUGGGUCUCCAGUGACUUCAUUCUCUGCUUCUGGGAGACGGGUAGUGCGACGGCCCUUCACAAGGUCGACGGUCUAUCACCUGGAUCGUCGCAGGGCUUCCAGUGAUUAUGCGUUCUGUAUCUUGGCAACAGUUCAUCGCAGAGCCGACGGUCUGUCACCUGGACCGUCGCAGGAUGUUCAAAUUCUAUGACAUCUGAUUUUGGUUGAUGGUUUAGACCGACGGAUCAUCGCAAGGUGACGGUCCGUCACCUAAGCCAUCGCUGCUCAUGUUACCUCUGUUUUGCUCAGAUUGUCCAAGUUAUCUUUCACACUCAGUUCUUAUCCUGAAAGCACUAAAAUACCAUGUUAAAUACAACAAUGGCUGCUUGAAAACACACAAUUAUCCUAAGAAAAAGACCUAAAAUGUUCUAUCAAAACCCAGAACAUCAAACUCGUCCUCAUCUCGCCAUCGAUGCGCACGUUAGCAAGAAGGGAUAAACAUGUGUUGGGAGAAAAGAAUUUUUCUAAUUCAAAUUAACUUUUAAAUUAGUUGAAUUGGCGAAUCAAAAUUAGUUGAACUAAUAUUAUUUGGUUUUGCUAGUUAGAGGAGCAGACAAGAUGCACUUUUAUCAACCCUAAUUUUAAAUUAAAAGUCCAUCUGGUCAUGAAAUUUUUUUACCUUUUUCUGAAGUUGUGGAAACACAUUUACCCAUUAAAUUUUUAAAAAUUUUGCUAUUACUUUUUCACCUAAAUAAUCCAUAAUAAAAAAAAAACUCUAAUUCAUUUCAUCAUUAAACAUAACUCUAAUUUCUAAAUAUCAUUUUUCAUUUUACAAAUAAUUUUUUUUUAUUUUUACAAUGAAACAUGGUCACACACCUAGUAAAUAUUUUUUAUAAAUUAAAAGUGUACUUAAAUAGCACAUAUAAAUCGGCUACCGAGUGUACUUCCUAAAAAUGAAAUGGAAGAGAAAAUAAGCAGAAAAUUUCAUGUAUGACUCCCAUAGUUGGUUGCUUUAUUUUUUUGUCCCCUAUAAUAAAAGUCUUUAAUGACUAGCCUUCUUUCUUUUUAUAUAUAGAAUGAGUACAUUUUUAUCCUUCUACAUCACAAAAUAUUUUUACACUUUUCAUACUCAUUUGUCUCUCAACUUUAAUUUUUAUUUUUAUUUUUAUUUAUUUUUAAUUUCUUUCUUAAUUUUUUUUCAUAUUUUAAUUUAUUUGUCUCAACCUUUAUUUUUUUUCUCAAAUAUUAUUUAUUUUUUUUUUAUUUUUUUUAAUUCAUUUGUCUCAAUCUUUAUUUUUUUUAAUCUUUUGUGUUUAUCUUUUCUCAUUUUUUUUCUCAAACUUUAUUUUUAUUUUUUUCUUCUCAACUUUGUUUUUCUCAAUCUUUUUUUUAUUAUUAUUUUUUUUAUUCUUCUCUUUCUUCUUUUUUCUUUUUUCUUUUUUCUUAACCUUUUUUUUUUCAUUUUUUUUUCUCUAUCUUUAUUUUUUUUUCUUUCAUCUAUUUUUCUUAUCUUUUUAUUUUUUGUCUACUUCUAUUAUAUUUUACUAAUAAACAAAAAUUGGAUAAUUGCCUCUAAAAAAAAAUAUAGAACAUUUCAUAAAUCGACACAAUAUGAUAGUGUCAACACUUAGCCAUGGAGCGUAACUUGUUGUUUGAAGUCCUUUACCUGAGUCUUGCUUCUGAGGCAAGAGUUAUAUAACAUCUCAUAAAUCAAAAUAUAAUGUGAUAGUAUCAAAUCUUGUCCAUGGAGUGUAACUUAUUGUUUGAAAGUCUUUGGGCUAAGUAUUGCCUUUAAGGCAAGAGUUAUAGAGCAUAUCAUAAAUUAAAAUAUAAUGUGUUAGUGUCAACUCUUACUCAUGGGGCAUAGCUUAUUGUUUGAAAGAUAUCAAUGAAAAAAAUAGAAAAUAGAAAAUAAUACAAGUUGAGGAAAAUAAUAAUAAUAAUUUUUUUAAGAAAGGAAAAAAUAAAAAUUAGAGAAAAUAAAAAAGAGAAAAAAAAAGAGCUGAGAGGAGAAAAGGGAGAAAAUGCAAGUUGAGAAAAAAAGAAAAAAACAGAGAAAGAAAGGAUAAAAAAUAAAAAAAUAAAUAAAGUUGAGAAAAAUAUAAACCAACAAAGUAUAAAAAGGAGAAAGAAAUAUUAAAAAAAUAGAAGUUGAAGGAGAAAAGGAAAAAAAAGUAAAGAUUGAGAAAGCAUUAAAAAAAGAGAAAAAAAUAAAAAUCAAUGUAAAAUAAAUAUUUUUCAUAUAUAUGUUGGAACGGAUGCAAAAUCUUUCUUGAGAGCUAAUUGAAUGUAUAACUGAUGUCUUGCGUUAAUUUUAUAUAUAUAUCAAAUAAAAAACUAAUAAUACAGACAAAAAAUAUAUUUUUUUAGUACACUCUACCAAACGAUCCCUAAAUUCACCCACUAUAGCUGUCAUUUUUAUAGUUUUGCCAAACUAACUGUGGGUGGUGGGUCACUCAAACCCAGUGGCCCAAUACUUUGAAUUUGAAUACUUUAUUAAAACGGAGACCGCCCUUUGAGAAUUUGAAUUUGAAUAACUAAUCUCAAAACCCACUUUUUCUUCCAACGGAUACAGAGUGAGCGAGAGUGUGUGCGUGUGUUACAAAGGGUAAAAAACAUUUUUGAAUUUUGGAGUUUGAUCUUCACCUAAGGUUCGUAAAUCUUAUUCUUCAACCAGCGGAAAUUAUCAAAGGUAUUUGUGUAAAUAGAUAUAAUCCAUGUAAUCCUUCUUGUUCUUUCUUCUAUGCAACUACAUAAUUCUUUGACUUCUUUUUUGUGUUUUUUAGUCCAUUUUCGUUUAAAAAGGAAAAAUUGGGGUGGUGAAAGUGGAUGCCAAGGUUUAGGGUAGUAGGUUAGUAGAUAGUAGUGUGUUGUCUUGUUAUCUGUUCUUAUACUAGUAUUUGUAGUAUUGCUCAUAUACUAGUAUUGUUUCGUGUACUUCAAUUAUUGUACUAGUUUGCUUUAUUUUGCUUUCACUUUCGGUAAUUUUUUAUUUUGAUUGCUUUGAAUUGUUUUUUUCUUGAGCCAAGGGUCUACCGAAAAACAACCUCCCUGGGUAAAGUUUGCAUACACUCGAACCUCUCUAAACUCCACUUUAUGGGAGUACACGGUAUGUUCGUUGUUGGGGUAGGUAAAGUGGAAAUGAGGUGGGGCAUGGGGGGAUUAUAAGGUGGGAACUCGAAACCUCACCAAAAAAGUUUAAGUUGAGUUAGUCAACCAACUCAUCUACUAAAAUCACACCCUUUUUUUUUCUGAAAAAAUAAAAAUUGGGGGUAGGAGAAAGGGGAAGGGGAUUACAAGGUAGAAAAUCGACCUCACCGGUAAGAUGAAAGUUCAGGAAGCAAAUCCACUAAGCUACUAAGAUUUCUCCCAUUUUUGGAUUUACUUUUGUUGUAAGUAUUAUUUUAAAAAAAAAAAAAAAAAACUUAAUGAUCUUAGUCAUUCUUACUCUAAAUUUGAUUAUUCUUACCAGAAAAGAGGAGGAUUUAAGUUGUAUUAUCACAUAUCUAUUCGUACUGUGUUCUUAGGUAAGAGCUCCUAGUCAGGAGAGUUUGGGUGUGGAGGGUGUCUCUGGCCUGUGAGUGUCUGUUACUACUAGGUGGGUGUCGUUUUUCGGAUGCCCUAUUUCUUAUCUCUUAUUGCACAUUGCACUUGGUUACCUUAUCUCAUAUUGCUUUGAUUUAUAUUUAUGUCUUAAUCCUUUUUAUUUGAUGUUAUCCAUCUUACUUCAUGUUUCAUUACGCUUUUGUUUAUUAUUCCUUAUCUUGAGCCGGGGGUCUAUCGGAAACAACCUCUCUACUUCUUUGGAGGUAGCGGUAUGAACUGAGUACACUUUACUCUUCCCAAACCCCAACUUGUGGGAAUACACUGGAUUUGUUGUUGUUAUUGUUGUUGUAUCACAUAUGUAUUAGUAGUUUUAAAGCAUAAUGUCAGCGAAUAGAACUUGAAGCCUAAUUUAAAUGGAUGGUUAAGUUAGGAAUUUGGUAUAAUAUUGAUUAAAGGGAACGUUUUGGUAUUAAUGGAGCUGAGUUCUUUCUGGAAUUGAUGAGUUUUUUGUAUUAAAUAGUUAAAAUUCCUCAAUUUCUGAGGUGCUUAACUGAUAAUUACCUAACUAAAUGAAGUUAUCAGUUUUAGAAAAAUAAUAAUAAUUACAUAACUAAAUAAGGGCUUUUCUCAAAAAACUUAUUCACAUUCUUGGGUAGGUGCUUAACCACUUUCAGAUACGCAAGAUCGAUAAACAAAGAUUAAAAGAAAAGGGAUAUAUCCCCAUGAUAAUGAAUUAUUCAUAGAACAAGUCAAAGUGUACAACAACAACAUACCCAGUGAAAUCCCACAAGUGGGGUUUGGGGAGGGUGGAUUGUCGGCAGAUUUAUCCUCUCAGAUCACUCUGCCUGUGUGAGCUCGUUCACAUUAUCGGUCCGAAGCCUGGAUAAAGGAUGAGGGUUGCCUACGGUCUAUCAGAAACAAGCCACUCUAUCCAAUAAAGGGUAGGGGGUAAGGCUGCUUGCAUCUUACCCUCUUCAGACCCCAGUUGUGACCUAUGGGAUUACACUGAGAUUUUUGUUGUUGUUGUUGAUUUAUGCUCUCAGUUGCAAAACCUUGAAUGAGUUCAAACUUUUUCUUAAUGUUCCUUACAGAGGUAGAUGAGUUGUUCCAUAAAAAGAAGAAACAUUUGUUCAAAAUAUUAAUCUGGGAUGCUGUUUAUUGAAAAAGUUAGUACUUUGUUCGACAAGACUACAAUUUUAAAAUGCUGAUGUCAUUUAUUUUAUUGUUGUUAAAUAAACAGGUUCUGUUGUCCCCCGGCAUUAAUAUGCAAAUGGAUGGUCUUAAAACAUGUCAAACAGAAAACUAUUCAACUCCUGGGAAAGUACAGCAGCUAGAAUCCUCUGUGGUCGCGAAAGUUAGAGUUAUUGUUAGAGUUCGCCCCUUUCUUCCUCGAGAAAGAAACUCUAUAGAUGGAAAAACAAUCUCUUGUGUUUCUGUUCUCAACUCAGAAUGUCAGUCUUCUGAUGAUGUUACAGUUCAUCUCAAAGAUCAUGAAACUAGGUAAUUUUUUCCUCAAUUGUUGGCAUGUUCUAAGAUUAAAUCUGUCACCAGAACCUUAUCCUGGGUACCCUUUUGUUUUUGACUGUAGUCGUAAUGAAUGCUACAAGUUGGAUGCCUUCUUUGGUCAAGAAGAUAACAAUAUAAGUCAAAUAUUUAGCAAAGAAAUCAGUCCUUUGAUCCCUGGGAUAUUAGAAGGCCGCAAUGUCACGGUAUUUGCUUAUGGUGCUACAGGGAGUGGCAAAACUUACACCAUGCAGGUAUGUUUUAUUUGUCUGCAUAACACACAAUUUGCUUCAUCACUCCUGCAAUUGGAUUAGAUGCUAAAAUAUACACGCGGAGUAGGAGACAUAGAGUUUUAAGUUAUAAUGGACUCAAUGUUUCUUUUCAAGUCUUCCGCUGUUCUACAACUUCUGUAACAUAGAUCCACGAGUGAUCAAAGGACAUAUUGGACUUUUCAGAUUGCAACCAUGCAUAAGCUUAGCCCAUAUAUGCAGCCAUUUGGCCUUAACCUAAAACUUUUCCAUUUGACCUCUUCAAAGAUAUGUAUGUCAAGUAUAUAGUUCCCUUCAGGCCUUCCUAAUUCCUGGAUGUGCAUGUGAAUUGUUUUGAAAAACCUUGUUGCUGAUGCAGGGAUCUGAAAAUCUCCCUGGUCUAAUGCCACUUGCAAUGUCCUCUAUUCUCUCGAAGAUUCCAGGGAAAAGUACCAUAACCAUUUCAUACUAUGAAAUAUACAUGGAUAGGUGCUAUGAUCUACUUGAACUUAAGGAGAAGGAAAUCUUGAUAUUGGACGACAAAGAUGGGCAGAUUCAUCUCAAAGGCCUUGCACAAGUUGCCAUUAGUUCAACGUCAGAGUUUCAAGAAGCAUUUUCCUGUGCAGUUCAGAGGAGAAAGGUUGCACAUACGGGUGUUAAUGAUGUCUCCAGCAGGAGUCAUGCAGUGCUCACAAUUUAUGUUUCUACUCCAAGCUGUGAUGAUACUGGAAAUGUCAUCACUGGGAAGUUGAACCUUAUUGACUUGGCAGGUCUUAAAAAUUUACUAAACCUAACCAUGAAUUGUUGUAAGAAUAUUGAACUGAAAAGUAACUCACAUGCUGUAACUCUAAUGUCACUGAAUUAGGAAACGAAGACAAUAGACGAACUUGCAACACUGGAAUUCGUCUACAAGAGAGUGCUAAGAUCAACCAGUCCUUAUUUGCACUGUCAAAUGUGAUUUAUGCAUUGAACAACAAUCAACCACGAAUACCUUAUAGAGAAAGCAAAUUGACAAGGGUAUUGCAAGACUCUCUUGGAGGAACAAGCCGUGCUUUGAUGAUUGCUUGCUUGGUAGGAUAUUGUAUACAUCAUCUCUUGCCUUUGAGUUCCAUGAAUGCAACACUGUUCUUAAGAUUGCCAACUAUUUUCAUUUGUUCAUAGAACCCUGGAGAGUACCAAGAAUCUCUUCAUACAGUUAGCCUGGCAGCCAGGUCAAGACAUAUAUCCAAUUUUGUUGCCUCAGCACAAAAAGGAGAUACUCCAAAGGUCAAAGUAGACAUGGAGGCAAAGCUUCGUGCAUGGCUAGAAUCUAAAGGCAAGACAAAAAGUACUCAGAGAAUUGGGGCAUUUGAUUCUCCAUUUACAAGCAAAACUCCAAGUUCCGUAGGUUCUACUAGGAAGCUAGGUUUGUUUGGGAGCUCCUCCAAGCAAAAAUCUAUCAGUAAUCAAGGCGCUUCAAGCAUAAAAAAGAAGUAAGAGAUUACUCUAUGAUCUUGCUUAUUUCUCUAUUACUCUAUUAUCUUGCUGGAUUUACCUGCCUUUGAUUUUGAUGAUUGCUUAACUGUGUUGAACAGGGAUCCAGAUGGAGCUUGUAGAAAUUUAUUUAAAAAUGGACAUCGAUCAAACUUAGUAGUGGAGGUAAAAAAAAAUGAGAACUAUAAUUUCUUCCUAGCUCGUUUUGAGUUUAUGAUGAAGCUAUUUGCUUUAAAUUGAAUAAAAUUCAUUUACGACAGACUCUAUUCAUUGUAGGUCUUUUUUUAAACUUAGCUACUGUAUAUGUGAUUUGAUUUUGAAUGAAAAUGAACCGGUAACCAUGAAACUUCAGUAUAGGAUUACUCAACUUUGUGUUGAUGUAACUAAUGUCUGAUAGCUUGAUAAGCUCUCAAAGGAAACAACAAUUCCUAAAUUUUGGUCAUCCUUAUCACAAAGAAAAUCACUCAGUUUGGUAUGUGAUAAUUAAUAGCUAAGAAGAAUUUUAAUAUAAUCUUUUGAAAGGACAACAGAACAAUUUGACCACACUUUUCAUUAUGGAAGAAUUGGAUUUAAUUAAUAAAUCGUUUUAAGUUGGAUUUCUGCAUUGACGUGCAAAUGCAGGCUUGGGACCUUGCUGAUACUGGUGGACAAAGAGGAGCGAAGAAAUUUGAAGUUUUCUCUGAAAGGGUUGUGCCUGAUUCUAAUACAGCAGUAAAUGGUACUUUUUUAAAAAAAAUUUCUAACCCAGCCUUCAUUGAUCAUUGAUGUGCAAAAAGUUAGAAGUUAAGUCUGGCAUCUCAAACUGUAUACAAGAUCAUUGAGAUGAGGCUAAUAUAGAAGUGUUAAUCCUACCCAAAAAAAGCCUAAGAGGCCAAGGACUCUAAGGGGGGGUCGUAUACAAUGUCGUUAUCCGUAACGUCUUUGGUUCUUAGGGACGGGAUACCCAUCUAUCCAAGUUGGUAGGACCUUUCACUUCGAGGGGCAAGACAGCGAAGGAGUUGAAAAUUUGAAUCUCACUACUUCUAUGACUCAAAUAGGAGAGCUUGUCAGCGGGCUUAUUAGCCUCUCUAAAGCAAUGAGUAAUAUGGGAGUCACUAUCUUCAACUAGUUUCUGAAUAUCAUCAACAAUUCUAGUUGUCUUCCACGGAGUCUUCCAAACUUCUUUAUGCAAUUCGGUAGAAGAAGAGAGUCAGUUUCUCCCCAAACAGGUCUGGGGUCAUUAUUCAAGCACCACCUCAAGCCAAAUAACAUAGCAGCAGCUUCGACAUAGUUGCUGGAACCUGGGCCUAAUGGUAUCACGUAGGCAAAAACAAUCUUUCCUGCGCUAUCUCUUACCAUUCCACCUUCCCCACAAUUUCCAUUAAUACAACUUCCAUCACUGUUGAGUUUUAACAAAUUCACUUGAGGUCUAAUCCACUUGACGAUGGUAGCUUUUGUUUGAUGUAUAUCUCGAUCACAGGCCUGGCGGAUUGUGUUCCGAGUGUCUCCAAUCCUCGCACUCUCAAAUCUCUUCCUCAAUAACUGCAAAAGUUUGAAUAAUGCAUUAGAGGAGGAUUGGUAUAAUGAAGGUCUUUCUCCUUCAUAUUUAUUAGGACAUCUGGCGUGAGAUUGGUAUAAUGAAGGUCUUUCUCCUUCAUAUUUGUUAGGACAUCUAGCAAGCCAGAUUUCCCAACAAAUAAAUGCAGGAAUAAUUUUCAUUAUAGUGAGCAAAAUGGGUUCUUGGUUUUGUGGUUCCACCAAUUGAGAAGGGUGAACUUCAAAUUGGGGUCACUCGUGCUUAUCCAUAGAGGACCUGCAAAAAAUGACCAUAACCAUAUCUCAGUUUUUGCAGUCUGCUUCAUGUAUUCUUCAUAUUAUUCUAUGUAGCUUACUCAUAUUAAGCUAACAAGCACGUGACACUCUCCAACUAUAUAUGUGCCAAAGCUAGUUCUAGUGUUCUCUAUUAAUUCUUGCAACAUCUAGACACUUUUUCAAUGAUGUUGGUGCCAAAGCUAGUCCUCUAUUUUUCUAUCGAUGUUCUCAUAGAGAGUCAUUGAAUAGCUAGUUUAUUAGCAAACUUUCGCUGAUAUACCUAAAACGUUUGAUCUAUCUGACCUGGCUUAUUUUCAUGGUAUUAGGUGUUCGUUGAGUUUCUUACUUUUUAAUAUAAGAUUGCACAUCCCUUUGCGUGACUUGUUAUAAUUAAAUUUUCAUUUUUCUUGAACUUGCUCCGUUUUAGAUUAGCCAAUCUCAGGCGGCCCAUUUCACAAAGAUUUUAAUUAGCCGAUCCCACUGAGCUCCCGGUGUGCUUUCCCCCUCUUUAAAGUAGUUUAAGGGUCGUUACAAAAUCAUUUUCCCCCUCCACUAUAAAAUUGAACCUGAAAAUAGCUCUCAUCUUCGUGUUCUUUCACUUAAACUAGGAGGCAUUCAUACUACUAUCACAUCCCUAACCCCAUAAGCCAUUUAAACCAAUGUCUAAAUCUUUUCAUUUACAUAUGUAACUCAGUUGGAGUUUAUUUGUCUCAUCUUCUCUAUUUGCAGAUAGCUGUGAAAAUUCGUACUUGUUAAAAAUUUUCAAUAUGUAAAUAUAAUAUAUCUUGCAUACCAGCAUUCAAACAAAAUUUGAAGAUUUUUGUCUGUUUGGUCCUCGUGUAGAUGUACAAACCAAUGCAGAGGAGAAAGUGACCAUCGUUGAUUGUUUCAACUCCCUUGGAGCAUGUGAGGUUACUCCUAGGAAUGUCCUUUCUCCCAUCAACUCCAACAUCAACAAUGAGAAUUUGUUAGCGAAGGAUCAAACACACCUCAUCUGCAAUCAGCAGACUCCCAUGUCAUCCUUUGCUUUAAGCAGUUUUGAUGAGAAUAUACCAGCAUUAGGAACUCCACUGGAUAAAUUCAGUGCACGAAGUUCUAACUUAAAGGUGAGAAGGGACUCCUGUUGUCGUUAUAUUCUGAUCUAAGUUGCUCGGGCUCUCCAAAUAUGUUGCCACACCAGUAUCAGAUUCUUCAAAAAUACACUAUUCUCGAAGGAUCCGAGAUGCACCCGUCAACAUUUUUGGAGUCCUAUAAACAUAGAUUCUGAUUGUUUAGCAUUUCUGGUUAUAAUAAUUAUCUCUGUUGAGUAUACAGAACUCUCUUGUCCAAGAGUACAUUGAGUUAUUGAACACAGCCAGCAAGUGAGUGUUAUUCUCUGUCUUCAUUUCCCUUUUACGUUUUCCAUUUCUUCUUUCUUCAUGGAGAAUUAACUUUGUUGUGUUACAUUACAUUGUGUUAGGGAGGAACUCAUGGCGAUAAACGUACGCUAUUGAUCUCUUCACUCUAUUCUAACAUUGUCAUCACUAUAUCAGCAAUGAGUUUUGAGUGCAUUUUCACAUGAUUCUAACGUUGUCAUCGCUUAUAGUUACUGUAACCUUGACUGCAUCUUUCAUAUCAUCCAGGGGAUUGGACAAAAGAUGGCUGAAUACAUUAUUGAUCUAAGGGAAACAAGUCCCAUGAGAUCAGUAAGAAACUCUUUCUUAAGGUCUAUGACGUUGCAUAUUCUUGGUUUAGGACUGAAUAAAACUAAACCUACUUACCUGAUUUGUGCAGCUAGAUGACUUGGAGAAGAUUGGACUGACAUCAAAGCAGGUAAUGCUGUGCAAUGUAUCAUUUGCAUUUCCAUUUUACUUUCUUAGUGUCAUUGCAGUAUAUGCAGCGUUUCUAUAGAGUAAAUGUGAGUUUAUGGAGUAAUAAUGAAGUGUUUUGCCGAUACCCCUAUAGGUUCAUAACUUAUUCAGGUGGGCUGCGAGAGGAGUACUGGGAUGAAAAACUUCUCUGCAACACCUUGUUUUAGGGACAUGUAGAUGAAACAUUGUGUUUCUGGCUAGAACUUCAGUUGUAUUGUAGUAUUAUUUAUGAGUAAUUGGAUUUGAGAGCUUGUAUUAAUUACCUUUCACCCCCCUCAAAUGACGGUUCUCAGUCCCUGUUGUACCAAUUCCAAUCAUAGAUUGUUCAGAAUUUCAGCAGUUCAUAGUUAUUACUCGUUUAUUGAGUUGCAGCUAUCACCAGAUUUCUCCAACUUGUACGUUCCAGAGAAAAAUUGACGCAAAGGCUAGUUUAGAACAAUGUCAUCUAGUUAUUUUCGUGCUGUUGCAGCCUCAAUACAAUUCUGACCGUCCUUUCUCUUCUUUUACGUGCAACCCUUGAUGUUUUAAUCCUUUGCUCCUUCCUUUUCUUGCUCUAUUGCGUUAUUGAAUAGCCUCUGAACCACCCCAUUAUUAGCAGCGUUCCUUAGGGAGAGGUGUCUAAACUAAUACUUAUUUUUCAGACUUAACAGGAUGGACCAUUGCAAUAGUUAUCGAUUUGGCAUUCAGAUAUAUCCCCCAUCUCUUAAAUUCAUCUUAGUUUAAUUCAAAAAAAUAGUAAUCUAAACCUUCUUCAGAGACGCAUAAUAUCACAGCCACCUCACUUUUUGAGUCGACAAUGGCCUUAAGGUGGGUGGCACCACCCUCCACACAAGCACCGCCUGGUGAAGGGGUAGUGAGGAAAGCUAUAGACCCAAAACCUUCUAACUUCCUUUCUAAAUGGGAGUGCCCAAGGCCACCCUCAUCUUCUAAUUUCAUAGUUGCUUAUUCCCAUUAGGCCAGAGUACACACCAACCAUUACAGCCCAAAGAAAUAGAAUGAAUAGUUUUCAGUUCAAAAAGCAAAAUAGAGAGAGGAAUCAAACUGCACUAUUUUCUCAAUAAGUGAACAGAUAAAGGAUCAGAUACCUGCACGAUAACGAAUACUCACACAUCUAACAAGAUUAGCAAAGAAUCUAAAACGAAUGAACUGUCACUACCACUAAUCAGUUCUUGAUAUUUGUGUUGGAUUUAUUAAAAAAACCAACAAUCACACAAAAAAUGGUAUAUUAGGCAUAUACCAGAUAAGGAAAAUAAUCACUUUUUCAUGAGAUUUACUAAUCCUGAAACUAUUUUACUCCCAACUGUACUAAAAUGGUGAAAGUGGGAUAAUAUAGUCGCAUGAGAUAUCCAUACUUAUUCCAUCUCGGGUAAGAAACGACAAGGUUAUAAUGAACAGACAGAAGCACAAGGAAAUGGAAGAGUUUAGGGAAAUAUUACCAAGGAAGUUCUUAAAUUAGCUGAAAGCACAACAUACUUCCAAACUAGUAUGUUAAAAUUACCAGAUGCAGAGAAUGCUCAUGUUACACAAACACCACAUUACCACUACUUACAAACAUGUUUCAAUACUCCAUUACUAUUUCUUAUUACAGGGAAAAAAAGAACAACACAAUCUUUUUCCCUGUUGCAACAGACACACAAACUAUUAAACUACACACAUAUUAAACCAUGAACUCUGCUCUGUUAUAAUAGCUUAGUUUAUUCACUUGUUACAAGUGCAAGGGUUGC